Molecule: unclassified non-coding RNA, 240 nt
Filed under: uncultured fungus
Lineage: Eukaryota; Fungi
Description: partial contains 5.8S rRNA, ITS2 and 28S rRNA
Rfam family: Eukaryotic large subunit ribosomal RNA
Source: RNAcentral
AGGAGUCUAACAUGUUCGCGAGUUUUACAUUUUGGAUGCUGAGCGUGCGAAAGCGAUAAGUAUUUCACUACUAGCAGAGCGCGUAUGUUCGGUCCCGAAAAAUGGUGAACUAUUUCUGCUCAGGGCGAGGUCAUAGGAAACUGUGAUGGAAGGUCUCAGCGGUUCUGACGUGCAAAUCGAUCGUGUAAAUUAGGUAUAGGAGCGAAAGACCAAUCGAACCAUGUAGUUGCUGGUUCUCUC